GGAAUUUUGGACAAUGGGGGCAACCCUGAUCCAGCGACGCCGCGUGGAGGACGAAGGUCUUCGGAUUGUAAACUCCUUUUAUCUGAGAAUAAGAAAUCCGUAGAAAUACGGAGAGUGAAGGUAUCAGAGGAAUAAGCCACGGCUAACUUCGUGCCAGCAGCCGCGGUAAUACGAAGGUGGCGAGCGUUACUCGGAAUGACUAGGCGUAAAGGGCAGGUAGGCGGUCUGGUAAGUCUGCUGUGAAAGCUCCCGGCUCAACUGGGAGAGGCCAACAGAUACUGUCAGGCUCGAGUAUGGGAGAGGAUACUGGAAUUCCCGGUGUAGCGGUGAAAUGCGCAGAGAUCGGGAGGAACACCAAUGGCGAAAGCAAGUAUCUGGACCAUUACUGACGCUCAGCUGCGAAAGCUAGGGGAGCAAAC
This 419-nucleotide ribosomal RNA is filed under the name uncultured bacterium. RNAcentral describes it as "bacterial SSU rRNA". It matches the Rfam family "Bacterial small subunit ribosomal RNA", at positions 358 to 773 of the family's 1533-position model. The record is from RNAcentral.